Molecule: long non-coding RNA, 1336 nt
Filed under: Monodelphis domestica (gray short-tailed opossum)
Lineage: Eukaryota; Metazoa; Chordata; Mammalia; Didelphimorphia; Didelphidae
Description: lncRNA (ENSMODG00000051409.1)
Source: RNAcentral
GGCUUUGUCUGGCUCUAGCAUGGAAAGAAAAAAUUGAGAUCAGCUAAUAGCUAACAAGAAUAAUGGAAAAAGGCAGUUCCUAGACUCCACUCCUUUCAGUUUUCCUCUACUUUUUAUCCUACCACAAGCUCUCCUCCCGGAAUUAAUCUGCAGUCUCCCCUCACCCAGCUAAAGUUGUUUGGGUUGCCAAAUUUCCUAGUUACAGCUCUUGGGAGUGAAGCGAUUUUCCAUGAAUACUGAUAAGAUUUGUUGUUUCAGUUCCCACAUAUUUCCAGCCACAAGAUCAUCACUCGGGUCAGCAUCACCACUCCUUUCCCAAAGGAAAAAUUGGGCUCUUUCCUAAAUCACCUUGGGAUUUGAUGGGCCACCUUGAACCUUACCUCACUUGGUUCCAGGCAUGAACAACUCCUCUCCAGCCAUACCACAUAACAAUGCUGCCCACACAGACCUGCACGCAGCCAUUAUCCAGGAGUGCAAAGUAAAUCCAGCAGAAUGUGUGCCCGACAUCCUCAACACCACCAAUAAGCCAUACAAACCAGCUUAGCGGAAGAAUCAAGGCAUUUUGAGGAAGAGACAGGCGGAGGUUGAUGAUCAAACCAUCACCUCCACCUACACUAUGACAUCCCCUCAGAUCUCAGUAGUCCGGUGGCCCAGCAAUUUCAAUGCCCACCUUUGAUCACUAGUCUUGCUUAGAGUGGAGCCCUCCCCAUUGUCAUAAAAAGGAUCAACCCUUGUACAAGAGGGGAUUGACAGCCUCACCACCACCAACCCAAUCACUGACCAACUAACCCUAAUGCCUGGGUAAAACCAAGAGCACCCCAGUCCACCCAUCCUCCUGAAGCCAUCAUCUAGAAAGCAACUCUGGUGGACAUGGGACAUGGAGGCUGUUUCUGCAGGCUCUCUAUAUAGGACCUUUGUUUUCCUAGCACUUGGCAUUCUUACUUAUAGAAAGCACCUGAUUAAUGCUUCUUCACUAUUGAAUGAAUGACUGCUUCCUCAACGUGGCCGAUAAUGGAGAUCCAGAAAAGAAGACUCCCAUCACUCCAGUCCUUGGUGUUACCAGAUGAUUCGACAGCAGAAAUCAACAUAGUUUGAUCAGUGGUGUCUCCACUAAGUUAAAGAAAGUGGGUUACCAUUUACUUUGCUGCUCACAGACCCUAAGGAUCACAGGAAUUUGGCAUCAAACUUGCUGCUUACACCAUACAUACAUACAUACAUACAAAGAGAAGGGGGAGGAGAGAGACAGAGAGGGACAGAGAGAGACAGAGACAGAGAUUCAGAGAGAAUCAUUUUCAAUUUUUAUCCUUAGCAUUUAGCAAAGGGUUUUUGAAGCUUU